UCGGGAAUUUUGGGCAAUGGGCGAAAGCCUGACCCAGCAACGCCGCGUGAAGGAUGAAGUAUUUCGGUAUGUAAACUUCGAAAGAAUAGGAAGAAUAAAUGACGGUACUAUUUAUAAGGUCCGGCUAACUACGUGCCAGCAGCCGCGGUAAUACGUAGGGACCAAGCGUUGUUCGGAUUUACUGGGCGUAAAGGGCGCGUAGGCGGCGUAAUAAGUCACUUGUGAAAUCUCCGGGCUUAACUCGGAGCGGCCAAGUGAUACUGUUAGGCUAGAGUGCAGAAAGGGCAAUCGGAAUUCUUGGUGUAGCGGUGAAAUGCGUAGAUAUCAAGAGGAACACCUGAGGCGAAGGCGGGUUGCUAGGCUGACACUGACGCUGAGGCGCGAAAGCUAGGGUAGCAAACGGGAUUAGAUACCCUCGUAGUCCCUGAGCGGGCUGGCAAGGCGCAU
This 447-nucleotide ribosomal RNA is filed under the name uncultured bacterium. Its description in RNAcentral is "bacterial SSU rRNA". It matches the Rfam family "Bacterial small subunit ribosomal RNA", at positions 355 to 825 of the family's 1533-position model. The record is from RNAcentral.